This 253-nucleotide ribosomal RNA is filed under the name uncultured bacterium. RNAcentral describes it as "partial 16S ribosomal RNA". It matches the Rfam family "Bacterial small subunit ribosomal RNA", at positions 524 to 776 of the family's 1533-position model. The record is from RNAcentral.
UACGUAGGGGGCUAGCGUUGUCCGGAUUUAUUGGGCGUAAAGAGCGUGUAGGCGGCCAGGUAGGUCUGCUGUGAAAACUCGAGGCUCAACCUCGAGACGUCGGUUGAAACCGUAUGGCUAGAGUCCGGAAGAGGAGAGUGGAAUUCCCGGUGUAGCGGUGAAAUGCGCAGAUAUCGGGAAGAACACCCGUGGCGAAGGCGGCUCUCUGGGACGGUACUGACGCUGAGACGCGAAAGCGUGGGGAGCGAACAGG